This 239-nucleotide signal recognition particle RNA is filed under the name marine sediment metagenome. RNAcentral's name for it is "Bacterial large signal recognition particle RNA". It matches the Rfam family "Bacterial large signal recognition particle RNA". Rfam says of the family: The signal recognition particle (SRP) is a universally conserved ribonucleoprotein involved in the co-translational targeting of proteins to membranes. RNAcentral also lists the same sequence under 1 other name. The record is from RNAcentral.
UGUGCUAGGCGGGGGGCUAGCGGUCCCCUACAUUCGCAACCCGCUAUAGCGAAGCCGAAGGGUCUCCCCAGAGGCCAGAGCGUGAGGAAAGCCUCGGAGAAGCGGCGUUGACGGUUGAGUCCUCUACGGCGUAUACCGGUGAACCCCGCCAGGCCUGGAAGGGAGCAACGGUAAAUCGGUCCCUGCGGGUGUUAGAGGAUCACUUGGCCUGAGCUGGCUGGCCGAGAAGCGCCUGGCGC